Molecule: ribosomal RNA, 585 nt
Filed under: uncultured bacterium
Lineage: Bacteria
Description: partial 16S ribosomal RNA
Rfam family: Bacterial small subunit ribosomal RNA
Source: RNAcentral
UGGGGAAUUUUGGACAAUGGGCGAAAGCCUGAUCCAGCAAUGCCGCGUGUGUGAAGAAGGCCUUCGGGUUGUAAAGCACUUUUGUCCGGAAAGAAAUCCUUGGCUCUAAUACAGUCGGGGGAUGACGGUACCGGAAGAAUAAGCACCGGCUAACUACGUGCCAGCAGCCGCGGUAAUACGUAGGGUGCAAGCGUUAAUCGGAAUUACUGGGCGUAAAGCGUGCGCAGGCGGUUUGCUAAGACCGAUGUGAAAUCCCCGGGCUCAACCUGGGAACUGCAUUGGUGACUGGCAGGCUAGAGUAUGGCAGAGGGGGGUAGAACUCCACGUGUAGCAGUGAAAUGCGUAGAGAUGUGGAGGAAUACCGAUGGCGAAGGCAGCCCCCUGGGCCAAUACUGACGCUCAUGCACGAAAGCGUGGGGAGCAAACAGGAUUAGAUACCCUGGUAGUCCACGCCCUAAACGAUGUCAACUAGUUGUUGGGGAUUCAUUUCCUUAGUAACGUAGCUAACGCGUGAAGUUGACCGCCUGGGGAGUACGGUCGCAAGAUUAAAACUUAAAGGAAUUGACGGGGUCAUAGCUGUUUCCU